Molecule: ribosomal RNA, 409 nt
Filed under: uncultured bacterium
Lineage: Bacteria
Description: bacterial SSU rRNA
Rfam family: Bacterial small subunit ribosomal RNA
Source: RNAcentral
CAGCAGCCGCGGUAAUACAGAGGUCCCAAGCGUUGUUCGGAUUCACUGGGCGUAAAGGGUGCGUAGGUGGCGGGGCAAGUCGGAUGUGAAAUCUCGGAGCUCAACUCCGAAAUGGCAUUGGAAACUACCCUGCUUGAGGGUCGGAGGGGGGACUGGAAUUCUCGGUGUAGCAGUGAAAUGCGUAGAUAUCGAGAGGAACACCAGUGGCGAAGGCGAGUCCCUGGACGACUCCUGACACUGAGGCACGAAAGCUAGGGGAGCAAACAGGAUUAGAUACCCUGGUAGUCCUAGCCGUAAACGGUGCACGUUUGCUGUAAAAGGAAUCGACCCCUUUUGUGGCGGAGCCAACGCGUUAAACGUGCCGCCUGGGAAGUACGGUCGCAAGAUUAAAACUCAAAGGAAUUGACGG